RNAcentral lists this ribosomal RNA (525 nucleotides) under uncultured Alphaproteobacteria bacterium. Its description in RNAcentral is "bacterial SSU rRNA". It matches the Rfam family "Bacterial small subunit ribosomal RNA", at positions 383 to 926 of the family's 1533-position model. Lineage: Bacteria; Pseudomonadati; Pseudomonadota; Alphaproteobacteria. The record is from RNAcentral.
CUGAUCAGCAUGCCGCGUGAGUGAUGAAGGCCUUAGGGUUGUAAAGCUCUUUCACCGGGGAAGAUAAUGACGGUACCCGGACAAGAAGCCCCGGAUAACUUCUUGACAUCAGCCGCGGUAAUACUAAGGGGGCUAGGGUUGUUCGGAAUUACUGGGCGUAACGCGCACCUAAGCUGCUAUUUAUGUCACGUGUGAAAUCCCAUAGCUCAACUCUGGAACUGCCUUUGAUACUGGACACCUAGACUAUGGAAGAGGUUGGUGGAAUUCCGAGUGUAGAGGUGAAAUUCAUAUAUCUUCGGAGGAACACCAUUGGCGAAGGCGGCUUACUGCUCCAUUACUGACGCUGAGGUGCUAAACCGUGGCGAGCACACAGGAUUAGAUACCCUGGUAGUCCACGCCAUAAACUAUGAAGGUUAGCCGUCGGCAUGCAUGCAUGUCCGUGGCGCAGCUAACGCAUUAAACAUUCCGCCUGGGGAGUACGGUCUCAAGAUUAAAACUCAAAAGAAUUGACGAGGAGAUUAGAUC